This 1733-nucleotide long non-coding RNA is filed under the name Lactuca sativa (garden lettuce). RNAcentral's name for it is "long non-coding RNA (LSAT_LNC003602)". The record is from RNAcentral. Lineage: Eukaryota; Viridiplantae; Streptophyta; Magnoliopsida; Asterales; Asteraceae.
UUUAAAUGAAAUAUUAUUAAUAAUAAAAUAAUUAAGAUAAUAAAUAAAAACCCAAAAAAGUACUUAAAUUAAAACUUAACUUGACAUACAACAAUUUUCUUAACAUCUGAUACAAAAACAUCUUCCAAAAGGCUUAAUAAGUGUGACAUUGCACUAGUCUAACAUUGCACUGGUAAUCACUUGAAACGUAAAACUUUCAAAUUAAGUACUUGUUGGGAAAAUAAUACAAAACUUGAUUCUGGAUGAACUUUGCAUAAAAUCUCUUCUUGUUGGUCCAUCUAGCGAAUAAUUACCUGUCAUAUGAUAAUGAUACAUCAUACAAAAUUUUGAUAAAUUAAAAGAGUUGUAUAAUUUUUUAAUAAUAAUUAGCUCUAAAAAGUUUAAAAGCAAUACCUGCGAGUGCAACUCCCAUAAUCCCUGAAAUAAGUUACUUGAGUGUUAUUAGCCAAUAAGAAUAUCAUCUACAAAAGUGUGUAUUGUUUUAAUGCAUUCGGUGUCGUCUCUCGAACUCCCUUGAAAAAACAUUAACUUCUUUUAAACAAGUCGUUUUUACUUAGAUUAAAACAUUGAAUACCAUUAAAACCAAAACCACAUAUGAUGCAUAGGCUAAAUAGUGCACAAAAGUUGUAGAAUACCAAAGCAUAAAAUUUUUGUUGGGUGCCCUCUUAUUGGAAAAAAGUUUACGUGAUCAACACUACAGCUAAUAAGCCAGAUAACAAAGCACACCAUCCUUCUAUAGGCUAUUCUCUUAUUGCAAAAAACAUGAGUCACGUAAAGCAAUAAUACUUAUUGGUCAUAUUAAAAUUAAUAAUUGUUAUGAUUGUAAACUUACACUUGUUUUAAUUUUUAAUCAGAAUCUAGUAAGCCACACAUAUUAAAUGGGUAAAUGCUUUUCAAAAUUGUGAAAACAUCGGACAAGUUAACCAUGUUGAUAAAAAUCAAAUAAUUUCACAAUGGAGUUAGCAUGAUGUUCAAAAACAAUUUAUUAAUGUCGAUAGUGAAAGCGAAAAAUGGCAUUAAACUACUUGAGAUUUUUAGGUACGACAUUCUGUUAGACAAUUUGGCAAACACAUUGUGAGCAUCAAAAUAGAUUAUGUUAAGAACAUCAAUAUAUUCAAUAUUUAAAAUAGAAGAACUUACCUAGAACAAUUCCUUCUUCCACAUUUGUCCUUGUAGCGUGAAGAGCAUCAGUAACCUUAUCUUUUCUUUCUUAACUUCUUCCACAACUUCCCUUGUAGCCUUAAAAAACAUGAAUUAGACUAAAAGUGGAGAUGUAAUCCAGCUUUUUUAAUACCCAUAAAAAGAAACCCAUCAAAAAUAUAUUAAUAUCACAAAAAUACUAGCCAAAAUGUAGCAGAACACUAAAAUGUCGGUCCAAUGGAGAGUUUAUCACUACAAAACAUAAUUAAAAAAAAUAGCAGACAUUUGGAGAAACCCUAAAAGGUAAAAAGGGAAAACAAAACAAACCUAUGGAUGAUGGGUGAGCUAAAGCGAAGUAGAUCGGCGCAGGGAAGAUUAUGGUGAAGUAGUAGUGCAAGGCGAACCACAGACGAAGGCAAGAUUCUCUCACAACCUUUUUGAACCGAUGAAUUUGGGAUAAACAAAGUGCAGGCGAGGUUUUCAAAUUUUUUGGGAUUUCAUUUUCCCGCUGGAAACGAAGGAGGAGGGGUUUUUGUAAUUUUUGGGAUGGUUACUUCUCUCAAACAAGUCAUUGGUUUUAAAUUCGAAAAAAU